GUGAAUCAUCAAAUCUUUGAACGCAAAUUGCACUCCCUGGUAUUCCGGGGAGUAUGCCUGUUUGAGGGUCGUUAGAACAAAAAUCGAAGCGAUGCUCUUUUUUUUAAGGGUGAUUGCGUCGGAAUUGAGCCGUUUUUCAAAUGUUAAUUCAUGUCAAAGUGGCUUGAAAUUCAUCUAUCCGGUACGAAUAAGCGUAUUUAAGAUCAAUUUUGAUUGAGAACGUGCGAUGACGUACCAUCUCAUGUAGUACGAUUGACUUGUCGUCGUCAGGAUCAUU
This 277-nucleotide unclassified non-coding RNA is filed under the name Funneliformis mosseae. RNAcentral describes it as "partial contains 5.8S ribosomal RNA and internal transcribed spacer 2". The stretch from base 1 to 71 matches the Rfam family "5.8S ribosomal RNA", at positions 84 to 154 of the family's 154-position model. Lineage: Eukaryota; Fungi; Glomeromycota; Glomeromycetes; Glomerales; Glomeraceae. The record is from RNAcentral.